GCCUGGGUGGCUCAGUCGGUUAAGCAUCCGACUUCGGCUCAGGUCAUGAUCUCCCGAUUCGUGGGUUCGAGUCCCGCGUCGGGCU
This 85-nucleotide transfer RNA is filed under the name Felis catus (domestic cat). It matches the Rfam family "tRNA". From Rfam's summary of the family: Transfer RNA (tRNA) molecules are approximately 80 nucleotides in length. Their secondary structure includes four short double-helical elements and three loops (D, anti-codon, and T loops). Lineage: Eukaryota; Metazoa; Chordata; Mammalia; Carnivora; Felidae. The record is from Rfam by way of RNAcentral.